Molecule: long non-coding RNA, 381 nt
Organism: Ipomoea nil (Japanese morning glory)
Lineage: Eukaryota; Viridiplantae; Streptophyta; Magnoliopsida; Solanales; Convolvulaceae
Exons: 3
Source: RefSeq, a predicted model, not a curated record
UGUUACUAUAUCAUGUGGAACAUAUUAUAAGAGAGGAGAAAAUGAUGGCUGCCCAGGAGAUAAUUCAGCUAUUUUUUGAGCUCAUAAGUGUUCAUCUUCCAAUAAUUGAGGCACAAAGGGCUAGUUGUGGCAUUACUUGGAAAAGAAACUACUGCUGGUGAUUUUCUGGUUGAAGAUGUUCUAGAGGCUGGCCUAGCACAACAAAUAGAGCAACCACUUCAAUCAGGUAUAUCAUGACACAAAUGUGUAUUCUAAGGAUGGAAUAUAUGAGAUAAGGAGGGUAUGGAUAGACUAUUUUGUAAAUAAGUGCAUAUAAAUGUUUAUUAUGUGAUUUAGAUGGAAUUACAUUAUAUAUAUAAUGAUAGAUUAAUGUUAGGGUUA